AUUACGUGCUUAAUAGAACUAUAUUAUUAUAUAGUAUGCCUGUGUUGUCUUUUCAGGUGUGUUCUGACAGGUUGGCGCGGUAUAGUCACAACCGGGUAUUUCGGGCCGAACCGGGUUCGGGCCCGAAAUGAAAAUUAGAUUGAAUUAAUUGGCAUUUUAAUUGAUAUUUGAUAAUCUGAAAUUUAAUUGGGUUUGAAAUUGUGUGUUAAUGCCAUUUUUGCCCUUGUAUGUUUAAAGUGGAAGUUAUAUGGCCCUAAGGGCAUUUUAGUAAUUUGGCUUUAUGAGAUAAGUGUGUGAAAUGGCAUUUUUGACAAAAAAAGAAAAUAGAAUUUUCUGGUUGUAACUCUCUUGGCCGACCCCCCCUCUCUCUCUCAAACCCUUUUCUUUUUCAAUUUUGAUUUUUGAAGAAAUUGCUUGGUUUUGGCCUUGAAUUGAAGCUUUGAGUUUGUAGAUUUUUGAGCUUGUUCUUGGAUUGAGUUUGAGGAUUACCGGCACCUGAUCAGGAGCACCCGGGGAUUUGGAAUCUCCUUCUAUAGCUGGACAACAGGAAAGGGUAAGGCAUUAGCUGAUCUGCCAUGAGUUUUCAGGAGCAGGACGAAGAAUGUACAUGUUCACGCCACUUCAGACCAAGCGGGUUAUGGGUCUAACAGUGUUGACUUUUGUAUUCUGUUUUGCCGCUUAGGUCGGCUAGUAAGAAAGAACUUGUAAUAAUUUUGUAAAUAUUUUUGGGAU
Molecule: long non-coding RNA, 732 nt
Organism: Cannabis sativa
Lineage: Eukaryota; Viridiplantae; Streptophyta; Magnoliopsida; Rosales; Cannabaceae
Exons: 3
Source: RefSeq, a predicted model, not a curated record